AUUGUGGCGCAAGGGGUCAGUGCAUCUGGCUGUUCACCAGAAGGCUGGUGGUUCCAACCCACCCAGGAAUG
Molecule: non-coding RNA, 71 nt
Organism: Podarcis lilfordi (Lilford's wall lizard)
Lineage: Eukaryota; Metazoa; Chordata; Lepidosauria; Squamata; Lacertidae
Source: the annotation of a GenBank genome assembly